GAAGCCGGAAUUGCUAGUAAUGGCAGGUCAGCAUACUGCCGUGAAUACGUUCCCGGGCCCUUGUACACACCGCCCGUCACACCAUGAGAGUUGGGAAUACCCGAAGCCUGUGAGCUAACGAAAGAGGCAGCAGUCGAAGGUAGAAUCAAUGAUUGGGGUGAAGUCGUAACAAGGUAGC
Molecule: ribosomal RNA, 178 nt
Filed under: uncultured bacterium
Lineage: Bacteria
Description: partial 16S ribosomal RNA
Rfam family: Bacterial small subunit ribosomal RNA
Source: RNAcentral